AUAGCUAGUUGCAUCAAUGUUUAAAUAAUUGAUGCGAUAUCGACUAUGUCGAAUAAAAUUCUAGGUAGAAUUAUGAUAAUGACAUUGUCUGCCUAUGUGUCUUGACCAAAUUACGUGCCAGCAGUCGCGGUAAUACGUAGAAGACUAGUGUUAUUCAUCUUUAAUAGGUUUAAAGGGUACCUAGACGGUAUAUCAAGCCUGCAAUACGGGACUAAUGUACUAGAGUUACUUACGAGGGGGUAUUAAAGUACUGCUGGUGUAGAGAUGAAAUUCUGUCAUACCUCAUUUCGUAAGAAAUACUACGGCACAGGUAUAGGCGAAAGCAUCCCCUUAUGUGAUAACUGACGUUGAAGGACGAAGGCUUUGUGUCGCGAACAGGAUUAGAUACCCCAAUAGUCAAAGCAGAAAAUGAUGAAUGUCAUAGAAUAGACAUAUAAUAGUUUAUUCUAUAAAUGAAAGUGUAAGCAUUCCACCUCAAGAGUAAUUUGGCAACAUUGGAACUGAAAUCAUUAGACCGUUUCUGAAACCAGUAGUGAAGUAUGUUGUUUAAUUUGAUAAUCCGCAAAAAACCUUACCACAAUUUGAAUAUUUAGAUUUAGAUUUUCAUUUUCUUUUUUUUUUGCGCUGUUUUGUUUAGAUUUUCUCCUUAUAGGGAAAUUAUGAAUAGAGCAGCAUUAAAAGUAAAAUUAACAAGAAGGGAAGAGAAAUCUAUUUACAAGCGUUGCACGGCUGUCUUCAGUUAAUGUCGUGAGAUUCUGGUUAGUUCCAUUAAUUAACGUAA
RNAcentral lists this ribosomal RNA (781 nucleotides) under Lecanora sp. 2 UR-2019. RNAcentral's name for it is "SSU rRNA". It matches the Rfam family "Bacterial small subunit ribosomal RNA", at positions 388 to 1101 of the family's 1533-position model. The record is from RNAcentral. Lineage: Eukaryota; Fungi; Ascomycota; Lecanoromycetes; Lecanorales; Lecanoraceae.